AGAGUUUGAUUCUGGCUCAGGAUGAACGCUGGCGGCGUGCCUAAUACAUGCAAGUCGAACGGGGUUGUUGUAGCAAUACGGCAACCUAGUGGCGAACGGGUGAGUAACGCGUUGGUGACCUGCCCCGAAGAGGGGGAUAACAGUCCGAAAGGAUUGCUAAUACCCCAUGUGGUUACCGGUUUUAGAAUCCGGCAACUAAAGUCGUAAGACACUUUGGGAGGGACCUGCGUCCCAUCAGCUAGUUGGUAAGGUAACGGCUUACCAAGGCGACGACGGGUAGGGGACCUGAGAGGGUGGACCCCCACAAUGGCACUGAAACACGGGCCAUACACCUACGGGUGGCAGCAGUAGGGAAUAUUGCUUAAUGUGCGAAAGCGCGAAGCAAGCAACGCCGCGUGUGCGAUGAAGGCCUUCGGGUCGUAAAGCACUUUUUAGAGGGAUGAGAAAGGACAGUACCUCUAGAAUAAGCCUCGGCUAACUACGUGCCAGCCGCAGC
Molecule: ribosomal RNA, 496 nt
Filed under: uncultured bacterium
Lineage: Bacteria
Description: bacterial SSU rRNA
Rfam family: Bacterial small subunit ribosomal RNA
Source: RNAcentral